UGGAUGAGGGUGCGACGUAUCAGAUAGUUGGUGAGGUAACGGCUCACCAAGUCAUUGACGCGUAGCUGUACUGAGAGGUAGAACAGCCACAAUGGGACUGAGACACGGCCCAUACUUNUACGGGAGGCAGCAGUAGGGAAUUUUUCACAAUGGGCGAAAGCCUUAUGAAGCAAUGCCGCGUGANCGNNGAAGGUCUAUAAGAUUGUAAAGUUCUUUUAUUUGGGAAGAACCACUAAAAUAGGAAAUGAUUUUAGUUUGACUGUACCAUUUGAAUAAGUAUCGGCUAACUAUGUGCCAGCAGCCGCGGUAAUACAUAGGAUGCANNCGUUAUCCGGAUUUACUGGGCGUAAAACGAGCGCAGGCGGAUUUGUAAGUUUGGUAUGAAAUCUAGAUGCUUAACGUCUAGCUGUAUCAAAAACUACGAAUCUAGAGUGUAGCAGAGAGUUGGGGAACUCCAUGUGGAGCNNUAAAAUGCGUAGAUAUAUGGAAGAACACCNGUGGCGAAGGCGCCAACUUGGACUAUUACUGACGCUUAGGCUCGAAAGUGUGGGGAGCAAAUAGGAUUAGAUACCCUA
Molecule: ribosomal RNA, 575 nt
Filed under: uncultured Ureaplasma sp.
Lineage: Bacteria; Bacillati; Mycoplasmatota; Mycoplasmoidales; Mycoplasmoidaceae
Description: bacterial SSU rRNA
Rfam family: Bacterial small subunit ribosomal RNA
Source: RNAcentral